Micropterus dolomieu (smallmouth bass) is the source of this 2005-nucleotide long non-coding RNA. RefSeq lists it as uncharacterized. The transcript has 9 exons. NCBI's taxonomy places the organism in Eukaryota, Metazoa, Chordata, Actinopteri, Centrarchiformes, Centrarchidae. The record is from RefSeq and is a predicted model, not a curated record.
CGUUCAUCACUGGAGGACUGCUGCUCGUCCUCCUUCUCACGGAAAUAUUCCUCCACACACUGUUCUUCAAACUCGUAGAGACUUUUCAGCUCCUCUGGAUUCAGCCUAAGCUCUGCCUGUUGAAGAGGAUGUAGAGGUGGCUGAAAAUGAUUAGAGGUGGUGGCAGGAUGGGACGGUCAUGGAACGUCAUGAUCAGCUGGUAUCUCUGGAACUUCCACACCUGGUUGGAAAUGGACUUGACCUCAAAGAAAGUGUUGCUGUGGGACAUGAAACCAAGACCAGGCCCCAGAUACUUGUUGACUCCAAAGAUGUCCAAUAUGCGAAUGUACCAGAAGAUGAUGUCAAUACAGUAGAUGACUCUGCCAUAGCCCAUAUAAGGUUCAUUCUGCAGCCGCAGCAUUAGCCCAAGAAGGAAGGUAGAAAUGGCAGCCAGGUACAUGAUAGGAUGCAUCAUCUCCAAUACGGAAAUCAAGCAGUAGAAUCAGAGGAGGAAAGAUGAUCCCCAGAAUAACCUAGAGGAGAAAAUGAUCAUAGUUUUUACAAGAUACACAUUCAGUGUGUUUGCAGGGCCAAGUUUCUGCGGAGACAAGCGGAGAAGAGAGGAGAAGGAAGAAGUGUGCCAGGCCCACCGUGUUGUAUAACUCCUCCAGUCUGGGAAUGGUGAGGAAGUGGUGAAUAUUGACACCAUUCUCAAGGAGCAGUUUGACAAAGUCCACUCUGUCCAGCACCAGAGCAUCCAUCAUAGCCUGCUCCAGAGAGUUCACCUGAGAGAAAGGUCUGUUUCCUCCGGAGGUUCAGGCUUUGCCUUUCCUUUCCCCUUCCCCUUCUUUCCUCGGGUUUUGUUGCGAGGAGCGCAGGCAGGACUCUUUUGCUUCUCCUGGGUUGCAGCUACAGUGGUUGUAGUGUUGGCGAUGGCACUGGCAGGCUUGCCAAGCAGAAAUAAGGCCAGAGCCAAGCUGAGCUGGUCAGCUGCUGAAGCAUUUGUGCCUAAAGCAAAAGAAAAGAAAUGUCUUCAGCCGGUGAGGAGGUGCAUCAAGGUGGCUGCAAAACUGUAUUUUUUUGGUUUAUAUAAUGCUCUCAUGGUUUCUGCAAACAAGUUAUUAUUUGAUGAGGUCUGCCCAUUUUUACAACCUUUCUACACAGUACAACUGGUUGAUAUACCCGUUCAUGUACAUUAUUGCAGAUACUAUGUUCUUUGCAUUAAGCUUAUUACAUUUUGCAUGUUAUUAAUUUUUCACUACUUAUACAUACUGUUAUAUCCUACUUGAUUCUUUUUUACUACUAAUACUCUUAAUGAGUUGAACUGCAACAGUACUGCUGUUGCUCUUCAUUAUUUAAUACAAACUCAUCCUUCCCUUCAUACAUAUAUAAACACAACUAUAUUUAACUAUAUUGUUUAAGACUGCAAUGACAGGAUUUCCCCCAACAGAUUCAUCUCAUUUAGUGUUAAUCCAAAAUAGUCAUCUGAUAAUGACUUGGCUGAGUAGAUAAAAUCACUAAGUAAUGUUUUGCUCAAUCAGUAGAUACAACAGAUUUUAAAAAUACACAAUGUUCAUUUUUAAAACAAUUUAGUUGCUUUAUUUUUGCAUUUGCAUUAAAGUAUUUGUUUGCAUGAAGACAAUUUGACUAUGAAAAGUGUAUGUACAAAUGUUACAAAUACUUUUAACUAGGUAGGUUUUAAAAUAUCACUAUCUUGUUGUAUUUUCAAAAAAGGUCCAAGGCAUAGGGUGGUUGUUUCUGUCUGUUUCUGUCUGUUUCAGUCUUGGCGGUUUUCCACCUCAGUACUAUCAUGCAUCUUUAAGCACCCAGAACUCACAGUGCUGCCUGUUCACACAUUCACCACAUCUGAAUUCACUUUCUAGGAUCUAUAAUUUGUCCCACAUCUCUUGCCAUGCUGUAAAAUUUCACAAGUUCUGUCAUAAAAAUUACAAAAUUAAGUUUCUAAAAAGAGUUGCAGUUACAGAAUGUCGAUUCACUUACACAGAAUGUUCUGUCCGAGCUGCAG